RNAcentral lists this transfer RNA (69 nucleotides) under Enterobacter cloacae. RNAcentral's name for it is "tRNA-Met". It matches the Rfam family "tRNA". From Rfam's summary of the family: Transfer RNA (tRNA) molecules are approximately 80 nucleotides in length. Their secondary structure includes four short double-helical elements and three loops (D, anti-codon, and T loops). Further hydrogen bonds mediate the characteristic L-shaped molecular structure. tRNAs have two regions of fundamental functional importance: the anti-codon, which is responsible for specific mRNA codon recognition, and the 3' end, to which the tRNAs corresponding amino acid is attached (by aminoacyl-tRNA synthetases). tRNAs cope with the degeneracy of the genetic code in two manners: having more than one tRNA (with a specific anti-codon) for a particular amino acid; and 'wobble' base-pairing, i.e. permitting non-standard base-pairing at the 3rd anti-codon position. The record is from RNAcentral. Lineage: Bacteria; Pseudomonadati; Pseudomonadota; Gammaproteobacteria; Enterobacterales; Enterobacteriaceae. RNAcentral also lists the same sequence under 10 other names.
CUACGUAGCUCAGUUGGUUAGAGCACAUCACUCAUAAUGAUGGGGUCACAGGUUCGAAUCCCGUCGUAG